AGUGAACGCUGGCGGUAGGCCUAACACAUGCAAGUCGAACGGCAGCACAGUAAGAGCUUGCUCUUACGGGUGGCGAGUGGCGGACGUGUGAGGAAUAUAUCGGAAUCUACUUUUUCGUGGGGGAUAACGUAGGGAAACUUACGCUAAUACCGCAUACGCCCUACGAGUGAAAGCAGGGGAUCUUCGCACCUUGCGCGAUUGAAUGCGCCGAUGUCGGAUUAGAUAGUUGGCGGGGUAAAGGCCCACCAAGGCGACGAUCCGUAGCUGGUCGGGGAGGCGGAUCGGCGACAUUGGAACUGAGACACGGACCAGAGUCCUACGGGAGGCAGCAGUGGGGAAUAUUGGACAAUGGGCGCAAGCCUGAUACAGCCAUACCGCGUGGGUGAAGAAGGCCUUCGGGUUGUAAAGCCCUUUUGUUGGGAAAGAAAAGCAGCAGGUUAAUACCCCGCGGUUCUGACGGUACCCAAAGAAUAAGCACCGGCUAACUUCGUG
Molecule: ribosomal RNA, 492 nt
Filed under: uncultured bacterium
Lineage: Bacteria
Description: partial 16S ribosomal RNA
Rfam family: Bacterial small subunit ribosomal RNA
Source: RNAcentral